This 484-nucleotide ribosomal RNA is filed under the name uncultured bacterium. Its description in RNAcentral is "partial 16S ribosomal RNA". It matches the Rfam family "Bacterial small subunit ribosomal RNA", at positions 30 to 507 of the family's 1533-position model. The record is from RNAcentral.
AUUGAACGCUGGCGGCAGGCCUAACACAUGCAAGUCGAGCGGAUGAAGGGAGCUUGCUCCUGGAUUCAGCGGCGGACGGGUGAGUAAUGCCUCGGAAUCUGCCUGGUAGUGGGGGAUAACGUCCGGAAACGGGCGCUAAUACCGCAUACGUCCUGAGGGAGAAAGUGGGGGAUCUUCGGACCUCACGCUCUCAGAUGAGCCUAGGUCGGAUUAGCUAGUUGGUGGGGUAAAGGCCUACCAAGGCGACGAUCCGUAACUGGUCUGAGAGGAUGAUCAGUCACACUGGAACUGAGACGCGGUACAGAGUCCUACGGGAGGCAACAGUGGGGAAUAUUGGACAAUGGGCGGAAGCCUGGUCCAGCCAUGCCGCGUGUGUGAAGAAGGUCUUCGGAUUGUAAAGCACUUUAAGUUGGGAGGAAGGACAGUAAGUUAAUACCUUGCUGUUUUGACGUUACCAUCAGAAUAAGCACCGGAUAACUUCGUG